Molecule: long non-coding RNA, 540 nt
Organism: Malaclemys terrapin pileata
Lineage: Eukaryota; Metazoa; Chordata; Testudines; Emydidae
Exons: 3
Source: RefSeq, a predicted model, not a curated record
UCUCCAUCUGCCACUGAAAGGAAGUACGAGGAGACCCAAACCCAGUCAGGUCGGCGGGGUAAGUGCAGCUGAUCUACAGAUACUGUAACCCAGGGCCGUGUCUAAGCGAGCAUUGCAGGAUUCCACCCUGGAAAAGGCCAAGAGAUAGGAAACAAUUGACGGUGGGUCGUGUGAACCGGAGAGCCUCGUCGAACGUUGAGGCUUUGAGGAGGCAAUCGUUGAGGUGUCUGGAGACCUAAAGACCGGAGGGUUGCCCUUGAGUCCUUCAUUGAAUGAAGCACAUCGUUCGUGGUAGAAGCAAAAAGUUUGUCACCGUCGAAGGGAAGAUCUUCAAUGGUGCUCUAAACUUCUCGAGGAAAAAAAGAGGAGGAGAGCCAUGAACCCCGUCGCAUGACUACUGCUGUCGCGGUCGAUCUUGCUGCAGUGUUGGCUACAUCGAGGGCCGCUUGAAGAGCGGUGCGUGAUAUGCUUUGUCCCUCGGAAACCAGAGCUGUGAAAUGUUGUUUUUUCUGUUCUGGAAUGUCAUCAAUAAAAUCCAUG